This 497-nucleotide ribosomal RNA is filed under the name uncultured bacterium. Its description in RNAcentral is "partial 16S ribosomal RNA". It matches the Rfam family "Bacterial small subunit ribosomal RNA", at positions 28 to 507 of the family's 1533-position model. The record is from RNAcentral.
GAUGAACGCUGGCGGCGUGCCUAAUACAUGCAAGUCGAGCGAACGGACGAGAAGCUUGCUUCUCUGAUGUUAGCGGCGGAUGGGUGAGUAACACGUGGAUAACCUACCUAUAAGACUGGGAUAACUUCGGGAAACCGGAGCUAAUACCGGAUAAUAUUUUGAACCGCAUUGUUCAAAAGUGAAAGACGGUCUUGCUGUCACUUAUAGAUGGAUCCGCGCUGCAUUAGCUAGUUGGUCAGGUAACGGCCUACCAAGGCAACGAUGCAUAGCCGACCUGAGAGGGUGAUCGGCCACACUGGAACUGAGACGCGGUCCAGACUCCUACGGGACGCAGCAGUAGGGAAUCUUCCGCAAUGCGCGAAAGCCUGACGGAGCAACGCCGCGUGAGUGAUGAGGGUCUUCGGAUCGUAAAACUCUGUUAUUAGGGAAGAACAUAUGUGUAAGUAACUGUGCGCAUCUUGACGGUACCUAAUCAGAAAGCCACGGCUAACUACGUG